Molecule: unclassified non-coding RNA, 2898 nt
Filed under: Monomorium pharaonis (pharaoh ant)
Lineage: Eukaryota; Metazoa; Arthropoda; Insecta; Hymenoptera; Formicidae
Description: aTP-dependent zinc metalloprotease YME1L, transcript variant X1
Source: RNAcentral
GCGAACUUAAUAAAUUUUUAGUUCAUGCUUCUUGACGUCUAACCAUCAAUUGGCUCCGCAUUCAAAACACGGUUGGUUCUUGUACAUUAAAAAAAAUCACGUUCAAUGUUCCAAUAAAUUACCAAGUGACCGGUCACGUAACUGUAUCUGCGAGGAAACACCGUGACCGUCCAACUACGUCCAACAGAUUUGCUCGUAAGACGACCCGGACGAUUGGCGCGCACUCGAACGUCUCCACGAUUGUGAUCCAUCCAUCGCGUGAUUGUUCCUCCAGCUCUGGAUCUUUCGUAGUUCUACGUAAAUUCGCAGGACUUUCUCAUCUUGAUACUCACGAUUAUGAUAUCUCUUCAAUCUCACAAUCAGGUCUUGUACCAUCUGUCGCAGCUAGCGUUGACAGCAUCUCCUAGAACAACUACUUCGUAUUCGGUUAAAGAUAAGAAACAGAAUGAGUCCUUACAAAAGAACGUGGAGGAGACAGUUUGUCCUGAUAGUCUUGAAGAGGCGGCAAGAAAUUGUACCGAGUUACCAGAAAUAAACUUGAACAUUUCCAAUGUAUUGAGAAUGAAGGACAAUAAGGUGUGCUUAAUGCUGGAUAAUGUAGCUGUCAGUAUAUGUAAAUCUUUGGAGGAGAAUAAUAAAUGGAGAGUAUCUUAUUUAUCUGGCCUAAGUUUUGCCGAGAACAAACGAGACUUUCCAUGCUCAUCGUUCACAGAGCCUAUUAUUUUACCUGUUAUUUAUCUAACAUCAAAACAGCAACACAGACUGUUGCACACAUGGUAUGGCAAGAAGCUACACAAUCACAUGCCGAUUCGCACUUUUAAAUCUCAACGUAACAUAAAAAUGGAAUUAGAGCAGAAUCCACCGUUUAUGAGUAGAAUAAAGAAAUGGCUUGGUUUGUCUUCUAAUGUACAAGUGGGUUUGGUAUCCGAGAAAGGAUCAGAUUAUGAGAAAUUGAAGCAGCUCUUCAACAGUACUGAGACAACAGUGGAUGAACAGAAAAAGAGAAUAAAAAUGGCAUUCGUGGAGGGAUACGAAUGUGGAUUACAACGUCAGACGCGAGGUCGAACAAUGUGGCUGAAAAUUAUGCAGAAUAUAAUAACUGUUUCUGCUAUUAUUGUUGUAAUUUGGCUUUAUCUCAGCUAUCCAGGAGGAGGAAUAUUCAAACUCCCUAUGAGCCAUAGGAUUGAAAUAGAUCCUGAGGACAUCCAUGUCACUUUUAAUGAUGUUAAAGGGGUAGAUGAGGCAAAGCAAGAGCUUCUGAAUGUAGUAGAAUUUUUAAAGAAUCCUGAUAAAUUUUCCGCCCUUGGUGGAAAGUUACCGAAGGGAGUAUUGUUGGUCGGCCCGCCAGGAACGGGAAAGACAUUGUUAGCGCGUGCAGUCGCUGGAGAAGCUGGUGUUCCAUUCUUCCAUGUAGCAGGUCCUGAAUUUGAUGAGAUCCUCGUUGGCCAGGGAGCCCGACGUGUCAGAGAUUUGUUUCGAGCGGCGAAAGAAAAGGCACCGUGCGUAGUAUUCAUCGAUGAGAUUGAUUCCGUGGGUGCAAAAAGAACGAACUCAGUUCUGCAUCCUUAUGCAAAUCAGACAAUUAAUCAAUUACUUUCUGAGAUGGAUGGCUUUCGUCAAAAUGAAGGUGUCAUUGUUCUUGGAGCCACAAACAGACGUAAAGAUCUUGACAAAGCGCUAAUGCGUCCUGGUCGUUUUGAUGUUGAGAUUUAUGUUAAUAAACCUGAUUAUUUUGGUCGUAAGGAAAUACUAGACCUCUACUUAUCCAGAAUAUUGACACACGAAGUUGACACGGUUUAUUUGGCACGUUGUACUACAGGAUUCACUGGAGCUGAUCUCGAAAACAUGGUAAAUCAAGCUGCGUUACGCGCAGCGAUUGAUGAGGCAGACUGCGUCACUAUGAAGCACUUGGAAUAUGCUAGGGAUAAAGUAUUGAUGGGGCCAGAAGGCAAACUAAAAUUACGCGAUGAGGAAGUCAAUCGCAUUACAGCAUAUCAUGAAGCAGGACAUGCCUUAGUAGCAUUUUACACGAAAGAUGCUACGCCGCUUCAUAAGGUCACUAUUAUACCACGAGGACCAUCAUUAGGCCAUACUUCCUACAUGCAUGAAAAAGAUGUUUAUCACAUUACAAAAUCACAAUUGUUAGCCAAUAUGGAUUCCAUGAUGGGUGGUAGAGCUGCAGAAGAGUUAGUAUUUGGUCCAGAAAAAGUGACAACAGGAGCGUCUUCUGAUUUAGUGGAGGCGACGAAAAUAGCAGAGAUGAUGGUGAAGAUUUACGGAAUGUCAGAGAAAGUGGGAUUCAGGUCAAUAGUGGAGAAUAAGAAGCUUUUCGGUAGCGGCAGCACGUACGCGCCAAGCACGAACGAGCUUAUCGACAAUGAAGUAAAGCGGCUUUUACAGGAAUCAUAUGAACGUGCGAAAGCAAUUUUAAAAACACACGCAAAAGAACACAAACAAUUAGCAGAAGCCUUAUUGCAGUACGAGACAUUAGAUGCGGAUGAUGUGGCUGCCAUUGCAAACGAAACGGGACUUAGCAAACGAGAAUCAUCUGCAGAUCCAAAGAGAUCAACAAAAUGAUCUUAAUCAGAUAAUAUAAUUAUUUAAGAACAUUUAUCAAAAAGGAGCCAGUUUCUUUUUGAUCAGCGUUUGUUCAAUAAAAAUUUAAACAAUCCACUUUUUUCCUUCAAAUCCCGUGGAUUGUUGACAAGAAAUCAGUUAUUGGCAAUUUCGUCUUCCCUUUGCACUUGGGAUUCGCAAUCGAAGAAUCGCAGAGUACUUGAGUAUGGCAGUAUAUCCGAACUAUGAUAAACUUUGAUUUAUUAUUAAAUAAAUAUAGAUAUAAAUUGUAUUGAAUUAUGUAUAUACACACACAUAUUUAUAUACAUAUAUCUAAAGAUU